Molecule: microRNA, 21 nt
Filed under: Arabidopsis lyrata
Lineage: Eukaryota; Viridiplantae; Streptophyta; Magnoliopsida; Brassicales; Brassicaceae
Description: aly-miR3445-5p.1
Source: miRBase by way of RNAcentral
CGAACCAUCACCUUCCAAACC